UAUUAAUAAAUUAAGAUUAAAUUUAUGCUUACAUGCAUGAGUACAGUAGGUGAGGCAAAAACACCGGCAGAAGGAAGAUUCCUUGUUUGCCAGUGUGACUUGUAAAAUCAGCUGUAAUUAACCUGUACUUAAGUAUCGCUGUAUUUAUUUACCCUCUUUGAAUGAGUAGUUUUCAUUUGAUCGCCAACUUUUUUCAUGCCAAUGUUAAAUUUAAUAUUAUACAAAAGUUUUCCUUAUAAAUUAACUUGAACUUAUCAUUUCUAUUUUACAGUGCCAAACUGAUCAAUUGCAUCCUAAUGGAACGUUCAAGAUGUGAUUCAGUAACUGAUACGGUAGUUGCAAUCAUUAUUUUUGACCAAGUAAGUGAACAAUUCACCAUGAAAUGAUUGAAUCCAAAAAUAAUUGAAGAAAUGGUUUCAGAUGAUUACGAAUAAGCGCAGCUAUAUCUGGAGAGGUAAUGCACCUACUGAUAUCCCGUGAUAAGAACUUGGGAGAGAUUUAGUGAAAACCUGGAGAACGGCCACUUAGCUCACAAAUCUGAGCUGUUCACAUCAAGCUGAUAUUUGUGACAGCCAUUAUAGCUUUAAUCAUUUUCUCGAUUGAUCAAAGCACAACAGGCUGCAUCGUUCGUCACCUCUGCCUUCAAGCGCGUUAUGACUUACUCCAAUAAGCCAACCAAAUAUCCUUAAUAAGCAAUAGAAGUUCUUAUCGACUGUGUAUGACUCAUUAAUAUCCAUGUUUUGUAUAAAUUUAUGUGAUAGACCUACUGAUAUUAAUGUUGAUGUACCGUAAUGUUUUUUGCUCAUGUAUAAUAUUGAUAAUAAUACAUUAAAAAUAAAUAAAAAGUUAAAUUAUUA
Molecule: long non-coding RNA, 857 nt
Organism: Nilaparvata lugens (brown planthopper)
Lineage: Eukaryota; Metazoa; Arthropoda; Insecta; Hemiptera; Delphacidae
Exons: 3
Source: RefSeq, a predicted model, not a curated record